GGAUAACCUUGCGAAAGUAAGACUAAUACCCAAUGACAUCUCUAGAAGGCAUCUGAAAGAGAUUAAAGAUUUAUCGGUGAUGGAUGGGGAUGCGUCUGAUUAGCUUGUUGGCGGGGUAACGGCCCACCAAGGCAACGAUCAGUAGGGGUUCUGAGAGGAAGGUCCCCCACAUUGGAACUGAGACACGGUCCAAACUCCUACGGGAGGCAGCAGUGAGGAAUAUUGGUCAAUGGACGAGAGUCUGAACCAGCCAAGUAGCGUGCAGGAUGACGGCCCUAUGGGUUGUAAACUGCUUUUAUAAGGGAAUAAAGUGAGUCUCGUGAGACUUUUUGCAUGUACCUUAUGAAUAAGGACCGGCUAAUUCCGUGCCAGCAGCCGCGGUAAUACGGAAGGUCCGGGCGUUAUCCGGAUUUAUUGGGUUUAAAGGGAGCGUAGGCCGGAGAUUAAGCGUGUUGUGAAAUGUAGAUGCUCAACAUCUGAACUGCAGCGCGAACUGGUUUCCUUGAGUACGCACAAAGUGGGCGGAAUUCGUGGUGUAGCGGUGAAAUGCUUAGAUAUCACGAAGAACUCCGAUUGCGAAGGCAGCUCACUGGAGCGCAACUGACGCUGAAGCUCGAAAGUGCGGGUAUCGAACAGGAUUAGAUACCCUGGUAGUCCGCACGGUAAACGAUGGAUGCCCGCUGUUGGUCUGAAUAGGUCAGCGGCCAAG
This 709-nucleotide ribosomal RNA is filed under the name uncultured bacterium. RNAcentral describes it as "bacterial SSU rRNA". It matches the Rfam family "Bacterial small subunit ribosomal RNA", at positions 141 to 851 of the family's 1533-position model. The record is from RNAcentral.